Molecule: ribosomal RNA, 518 nt
Filed under: uncultured bacterium
Lineage: Bacteria
Description: bacterial SSU rRNA
Rfam family: Bacterial small subunit ribosomal RNA
Source: RNAcentral
CGGCGUACUAAGAAUGCAAGUCGAACGGGGCCACGGGCUUCGGUCUGUGGUCGAGUGGCGAACGGGUGAGUAACACGUAGGAACCUGUCCUCGAGUGGGGGAUAACGCUGGGAAACCGGCGCUAAUACCGCAUGGGGUCGCUCUUGCGAGAGCGGGGUGAUCAAAGGUUUUCGGAUCGCUCGAGUGAGGGGCCUGCGGCCGAUUAGCUAGUUGGUGGGGUAACGGCCUACCAAGGCGACGAUCGGUAGCUGGUCUGAGAGGAUGGUCAGCCACACUGGGACUGAGACACGGCCCAGACUCCUACGGGAGGCAGCAGUUAGGAAAUUUUCGCAAUGGGGGAAACCCUGACGGAGUAACGCCGCGUGGAGGAUGACGGCCUUCGGGUUGUAAACUCCUUUUCUGUGGGAAGAGUAGAAGACGGUACCACAGGAAGAAGCCUCGGCUAACUACGUGCCAGCAGCCGCGGUAAUACGUANGAGGCGAGCGUUGUCCGGAAUUACUGGGCGUAAAGAGCGCGU